CUCUUUCACAAACAAUUGAAAACCUAACCCAGUUUACACUCACCAUAAACUCAGAGGUUUAUUGCUUGGAGGGCCCUUAGCUCAGGCCAACUUUUCUCCUUCCUGAUGAGGCUUAGGCAGUCUUAAGCCAGGUAGGGGCAGCAGAGUGCAGCUGGUUGCUAGGGAACUAACAGCCCAGCAUCUAUUUACUAGUAAAGAUUUAGGAAAGGGGGCCGGGUGCGGUGGCUCAUGCCUGUAAUCCCAGC
This 245-nucleotide long non-coding RNA is filed under the name Homo sapiens (human). Its description in RNAcentral is "HSALNT0391011". Lineage: Eukaryota; Metazoa; Chordata; Mammalia; Primates; Hominidae. The record is from RNAcentral.